GCGGAAGCGGCGAGCGGGAACCACCUGCCACGCAGGACCCUGUGAUUGAUGGGGGUAUCAUCAGCUUGACGAAGGUUUGAGAGGGAACAACGCCUAUCUCUCGUAUUUUCAGACCUGUGAGAAUGGUAUACCUGCACGUUGAUUCCUCCUGUAAUUAAAAGGAGAGCUGCAGAAAUCUGCAGGACCAAAGACAGCGAAAACUCGUCCCGGCUCUUCGAUGGUAGGGUCCGGAGUUAUCCAUCAAUGGAGAUCCUGGAAUAAAAUUCACAAGGGAAGAAGAACUGCCUCUCUUGGAUAUCCUCAUCAGCAGAGGAAAUGGUGCAAAUUAGAAACACAAAUCUAUUGAAAAACCACGCAUACUAACCAAGUGCUUCAUUAGCAAAUAAUAACACUGCCUUCCAUAAGAGGAGCUUUGUGAGAACAUUCAGAUGGCAACAAAUGUAGUAAAACAACCCAGAAGACCAGAAAAAGGAAAUGACUGCCUAUACAUCCUCCAACAGAAUUACCUGAAAACUCAACCUGCUACAGAAUAGCCAACACUGCCAUACCACAAAAACAUUUCAGAAACAACAGGCUAAUGCAAGUACAUGGCAUCACUCUAGAACACAAACCAACUAAACUUUCCAAAGCAUCUUAAGUAAAGCAAAAGACUCAAUAGUCUAAGAAGAAAAAAAAACCAGGAGCCAUCUACAUCAUACAGUAUAAGGACUGUAAUAAAGGAAGAAGACUAACACAGCAUAUCCAUGAACAACAAGCAGUCAGUAUACUUGAUGAAAACUCCUUGGUCUCACAAAAGAUGAACUGACAGCCAUAAGACCCAACUUGGGAAAUGUGGGCAUCCUAGACCAAACUAAAUCCAAAAAUGCUAGGAAAUUCCUGGAAACUUGGUAUUUGAACAAAUCAGCCAUCUGUAGGCAUAGAGAUAAACCACAUUUACACACCAAUCGAGAAUAAAAAAGCAAAGAAGAAAACAAGACCACUGCAUAGCCCAGAGACAGACAAAUAAGCAGGGAUUAACAUGAGGCAAACAACCAAGCAGAAAACAAUACUCUAAUCAAGGAGAUAUCAAGAAGAAAACUAAACAGUCACCAACACUGGCAAGGCAAGCUAUUGUAUAUAAAUGGAGAGCAAACUCCACUGCCUUCUAC
This 1148-nucleotide long non-coding RNA is filed under the name Naja naja (Indian cobra). Its description in RNAcentral is "lncRNA (ENSNNAG00000005897.1)". Lineage: Eukaryota; Metazoa; Chordata; Lepidosauria; Squamata; Elapidae. The record is from RNAcentral.